Molecule: transfer RNA, 68 nt
Filed under: Marmota monax (woodchuck)
Lineage: Eukaryota; Metazoa; Chordata; Mammalia; Rodentia; Sciuridae
Description: tRNA.Ala
Source: RNAcentral
GGAGUGUAAAUCAGUGGUAGAGCGCUUGCUUGGCAUGCGUGAGACCCUGGGUUCAAUCCCUAGCUCCA